Gorilla gorilla gorilla (western lowland gorilla) is the source of this 90-nucleotide small nuclear RNA. The record is from Ensembl. Lineage: Eukaryota; Metazoa; Chordata; Mammalia; Primates; Hominidae.
GUGCUCCUUUACAAGUUCAUGUACUAACUUGAAAUAAUACAGACUAUUAGCAUGGCCCCUGCACAAAACCAUGAAACAUUGCAUAUUCUU